ACGUGUGGUUAUAUUGAACUAAGCUCAAAUUAGAGUUUAGUUCUGACCUUCGAUAUACUCAGAGUUGCUGCUGCCAACAAUGAGAGCCAAGCAUAUGCAGCCAAGGCUGAGUGUUUGGCCUUUGGUCAGAAUACGUAUUAGGUUUGGCUUUUCUCUACAUGUAGAAAAUACGUCAGAAACAUAGUUCGUUUUAAAUUUGAUUUUCUUUCCUUUUGUUCAUCUGAAGUGAGGUAUCUGUUCCCAUCAUCCGACCCCAAGUGAAAAUCACAAAGCUAGCUUCUGAUUUUGCAAACUGUAGUUCUCCAAACUGCCAGAACGCUUGCAUCAAUGAUGAGGACAUGUCACCUUACCCUGUUGACACAAAGAUAUGCUUUGCAGCACAGCCCAGGGGUGACAAAGGUUACCUUGCCUGUCUGCUUCACAAGCAGAAGUAUUACAUCGGUUCUUACUGGAAAUGCCCCCUAGACAUAAAAAAUCAUGUUUUAGCUUGUAACUAGGUAUGUUUAUACAGGAACUGUUAAAAUAAUUUAUUUUAAUAACAUAUUUAAACCUACCAUCUUGCACAAUGAGAAAAAGCUGAAAACAGCCAAAAAUAAUAUUCGUUUGAAAGGCCUCAACAGAACUGGCCAACUACUUUUAGCACUUAUUUUAGUAUCAUUCCAACAGAGUGCACAAAAUGUUGAAGGUGAGGCAGAGUUUCCUCAUUCCGGUUCCAGUCAAAGACAUGGCAAGAAGCUUCCUGCACUGGGAGCUUACACUGUAUGAAGACAAAAACAGGAAGAGUUUUUAGGUAAAGGAAAUAUUACUACACAGUUUCUGAGGCAAAAACCUUAGGCAAAAAAGAAAAAAUUAUUUGCUCAAAGCUACCAGAGGUUAUAGUGUUCUGAGGAACUGUGCUCACUGCUCCUGGACAAGGCAACUGAGAAUUUUUCUGCUCCAAUUUGCUUAGGGUAAUAUUUAACAUUGCGCAUGGCAGAAUACGAAUGCACAUAAUAACAAAUCAAAGUAGCUCAUAUCAGCAGGCGGUUUAUAUGUACAUAUAGUGUGUAGGUGUCUCCCAUCAUGCAAGCUGACCAGAUGGAUAACCUGGAUCAAACUUUUAGGUACUGGGACAGAAACAGGGAAGAGAGGAAUCAACUUUACUGGCAAAAAGAGAUUAUGAGGAUUUAGAUGAAGUCCUAAGACAGCCUUGCUCACCUGACCACAGCUGCUGCUGGGGUGAAAGCAGCACAGAAUAGGUCUACUUAAAAUAUUCUUAUGCUUCUGACAGAGACCAUGUUAUGUUGAUAGAAUAGGUAUGCAUUUCUGAAGCCAUUUUCUGCAGUUUACUAUGAAUAUUUAAGGCUGUUUUACUAAAUUUGGUAGUGUGUUUCUGAUGUUAAAUAGUCCUUUCCUGCAGCAACCUGGGAAUCAGCUUUCGGAAGAGGCUGAAUUAAAAAAAAGGAAAAAGUGAAAAUUGAAUUUGAAAGAAUGUUGAUGCCUGUAUCUAAGUAUUCAGGCAUGCUAUAACAAUUGCAAAAAUUAUAUGAACUGGACAGAAGACCAUCAUUUCAGGAAGAUGAGAACUAUCACUGGGAGACCUUAGACUUGAUGUGCUGAAAGAGUGAAAUGAUAUAGCGAAACAAUGGAGGAGUUUCAUGAAGGUGUUUGUCUUCCACAUGGCUGACGGCUGAAUUCUGUUCAAAAAGCAUGACUAAGGCUGCAAUAGGUACAAAGCCAAGUUUCCCCUUGGAUUCUCCCUCCUGCUGUGCUUCAUGUGGCUGGCAGAGUUCUGCCAUUGUGGAACAGAGAUUGCUGGAAAUAAAUUCUUCUUAAGCAGACAGGCUUUUGUUCAGUUUUGACUCCAGGCUCCCAGCCCAAAGUCUUGAGCAAUCUGCACUGGGAAAGCUCUGUGCAUCCGUGGUAAGGCUCUUUUUUAGAGGCUUCUAAUCUGAGGAAUUUGUGGCAAAGAGAACCAUUUUCUGAAAGGCUGCGUUCUGGGCAGAUCUUCAUUAUCAGCCUUGUCCUAGCAUAUUCUCUGAGAUUUCCAUCAUCUUAGGCUUUGGAUUUAGAUGCAGAUAAGCUCAUUUUUAGGUUUCCAUACCUGCAUUUAUGUGAACUAGUUGCAGAACAAAUCAGGGAGGCAUACAGUAUUCUUGUACCUCUUGCCUAUUAAUUAAUUCUUCACAUUUUUCUAUACAAGUGGGUGAAAGAAAUGCUGUGUGCACACAUUUUUCUCUUUCUGAAAAAGAAACACAAGAUUCAACAGCUUAUUUUCUGUCACAGCCACAACUUCAUUCAUCAUGUGAAAUCUCAGGUUGCUCUGUGCUCUAAAAUAGUCAGCACGUUACUCAUCUUCUUGCGAGCGAAUAAUUUUGUGGGGUUUCCUGCUCCUUUCCUAUUUCUCUUGUUAUUACUUCCAGAUGACAGCGUCUGUAAUGUUGUUGUACAACUCUACAAACCGAGGCACUUUUUAGAACCAAGAUUUUUUGGACACACUCAUAUCAGCAUGAUGUUUGUGAAACAUUUUAUGUAACUGUCCAAAGAGCGUCCCUCUCUCAUUUUCUUAGUGACAAUGGUAGACAACCCUUCAGUCUGUCAGCAGUUAGAAGCCAUCAUCUUUCACCCAAAUUUUGAGCAUUUCUAGCCAGUCUUCACCUGCCAGCUAUAUUUGUUGAAUGCUUGGUGAAUCAUAUAAAAAUUGUAUAAGCCUGAAUUCAUCUGCAAUAUGCACUUUACAGACCCUUCACUUCUUUUACAGCUAAAAGGAGAAGAAUGACUGUAAAGAGUUGCCAUUUUUCUUCAUCUGAUUGUAAGUCCUAAAUGCACAUUCAUGCGGCUGUAUCCUAUUCUACAGAAUGGCAAGGCAAUUUUACAAUUGCUGUGAGCUCCUAGGUAGCAGGUUCUGCUGUUCUUAUUUUCAAUCACACCUAAGGUGUUUGAUUUUUCCCUUAAUCUGCUUUUCCUAUUCUCAUUCCACCUCAAGCAAUUCACUUAAUUCUCUUUCCUGUGUUAUCUACACAUGACACUACUACGUGGGUUUUUUUUCCUGGAUUUAUUUAAUGGAUGAUCUUGUCCUAGAUUUCACCUGAGACAAAUUGCCAUAUCCAGGCUUGGACUCCUAUUUUUAAACACCUUGACAAUAUAUUGCUUUUCUAGAUAUGUCCAUUUUCUGAAAGCAAGCCUGAAGGUACCGGUACGUCAAACAUCUUAAAAGCAACAGAGCAUACACAACAAAUGAGAAAAGCCACAAAACAAAAUCCCAGCUGAUUCAAAGCAUAUCUGAUUAUUUUUCUUUCCAAGAUACUAAUAACACUGCUGCUGUAUUGGCUAUAUCCAAGAUGAAAUGUAGAAACUCGCAUUGGAUUGGAAUAUUGAAGAUACCCAAGAUACUGAUGUUUGUCUGAUAUAUUUUAAUACUCCGUAUCUCGUGUUCUUUUAUCCAGGAUUAAGAGAGAUGAGGUUUGAACAAGCAUACUACACUUGGGUAGUAACAUAGUGUACCAGAUUGGUAUACUUAUUCACUCACAUGAAAUUCUGUAUUGCAUCCCUCAAGGAAAUAUUAAGAGUAGCAUAUUUAUUAGAGAGACAGUCAUCCUAAAAGCUUUAUUUGUUCAAUUGACGGCUGCUUAAACACUUAUAACGUAUAAUAAUUUAUAAUUAAUGAUUAAACACUUCUGUCAUGCUGUCAUGCUGGUUACAGCAUGACAGAAGGUAACAGACCAACGUAUUCAUUUCCCACUUCCUAGCCAUAUACUGAGCACGAACAGCUAGGAUUACUAUGAAUGGGGAAGAACCAGUUAGGUAUGUAACAGAAAAGAAAAAUACAAAGAAUUAUUUUUUGCAUAAAGGUGCUCUUAGCCCUUUAAUACCUGUUCAUUCCUUAUGAAGCCACAAUAUUUUUUAAAGUGCUUUAACUGAAACAGUUUCUGGAGAAAGAAUUAUAUCUUUUAUUAGACUGACUACAUACAGUUGUAAAGAGUCAGCUAUUUUUAUUAGUUGCUGUCAUGGUUUAACCCCAGCCAGUAACUAAGCCCACACAGCCAUUUGCUCACUUCCCCCCAUCCUCCCCAGAAGGAUGGGGGAGAGAACUGGAAGAGUGUAAGUGAGAAAACUCAUGGGUUGAGAUAAAGGCAGUUUAAAGGGUAAAGCAAAAGCCGUGCACGCAAGCAAAGCAAAACAAGGAAUUCAUUCACCACUUCCCAUGGGCAGGCCGGUGUUCAGCCAUCUCCAGGACAGCACAGCUCCAUCACACAUAAUGGUUACUUGGAAAAACAAACGCCAUCAAUCCCAAUGUCCCACCAUUCCUCUUCUUCCCCAGCUUCAUAUGCUGCUCAUGGCACCAUAUGGUGUGGGAUACCCCUUUGGUCAGUUGGGGUCAGCUGUCCUGGCUGUGU
Long non-coding RNA from Pezoporus flaviventris, 4376 nucleotides. RefSeq lists it as uncharacterized. The record is from RefSeq and is a predicted model, not a curated record. The transcript is spliced from 3 exons. Lineage: Eukaryota; Metazoa; Chordata; Aves; Psittaciformes; Psittacidae.